This is a ribosomal RNA of Piliocolobus tephrosceles (Ugandan red Colobus), 133 nucleotides long. Lineage: Eukaryota; Metazoa; Chordata; Mammalia; Primates; Cercopithecidae. The record is from Ensembl.
GUCUAUGGCCAUACCACCCUGAGCACACCCAAUCUCAUCUGAUCUCAGAAGCUAAGCAGGAUCUGUCAUGGUUAGUACUUGGAGGGGAGACAUAAUUUCAAAGUAACAAUAUGUGAGUUAAAUGACAUAAAUA